GUCUACGGCCAUACCACCCUGAAUGCGCCUGAUCUUGUCUGAUCUUGGAAGCUAAGCAGGGUCAGGCCUUGCUAGUACUUGGAUGGGAGAGAUGAGGAUGAACAUG
Homo sapiens (human) is the source of this 106-nucleotide ribosomal RNA. NCBI's taxonomy places the organism in Eukaryota, Metazoa, Chordata, Mammalia, Primates, Hominidae. The record is from Rfam.